This 301-nucleotide ribosomal RNA is filed under the name uncultured bacterium. RNAcentral describes it as "partial 16S ribosomal RNA". It matches the Rfam family "Bacterial small subunit ribosomal RNA", at positions 509 to 807 of the family's 1533-position model. The record is from RNAcentral.
CAGUAGCCACGGUAACACGGAGGAUCCAAGCGUUAUCCGGAAUCAUUGGGUUUAAAGGGUCCGUAGGCGGUCUUGUAAGUCAGUGGUGAAAGCCCAUCGCUCAACGGUGGAACGGCCAUUGAUACUGCAGGACUUGAAUUAUUGGGAAGUAACUAGAAUAUGUAGUGUAGCGGUGAAAUGCUUAGAGAUUACAUGGAAUACCAAUUGCGAAGGCAGGUUACUACCAAUUGAUUGACGCUGAUGGACGAAAGCGUGGGUAGCGAACAGGAUUAGAUACCCCGGUAGUCCCUGUCUCUUAUAC